GCUGGGUGUGUGUGGUGCUGCACACCUGUAAUCCCAACAACUCAGGAGGCUGAGGCAGGAGGGUCAUAAGUUUGAGGACAGUCUCAGCAACUUAGCAAGACUCUGUCUCAA
RNAcentral lists this small RNA (111 nucleotides) under Marmota monax (woodchuck). The record is from RNAcentral. Lineage: Eukaryota; Metazoa; Chordata; Mammalia; Rodentia; Sciuridae.